Molecule: long non-coding RNA, 201 nt
Filed under: Musa acuminata (dwarf banana)
Lineage: Eukaryota; Viridiplantae; Streptophyta; Magnoliopsida; Zingiberales; Musaceae
Description: long non-coding RNA (MACU_LNC009338)
Source: RNAcentral
CACUCCUCUUUCUUGGAUGGUUAUAAGGCUAAGAGAUGAAGGAGGAGAACUCUAACUUUUACAAUACUUUAAGGCUCAAGAACUCAAGAUUAUGCCAAUAGGUUCGUGCCCUUUCAUGCAGGAAAGGGUGGGGUUUUUAUAGGCCCCAAUGGCUUCAAAAAUGGAGCCAAAAAGUGUCUAAUCCCGGAUUUUCGAGGUCCU